RNAcentral lists this ribosomal RNA (385 nucleotides) under uncultured bacterium. Its description in RNAcentral is "bacterial SSU rRNA". It matches the Rfam family "Bacterial small subunit ribosomal RNA", at positions 30 to 417 of the family's 1533-position model. The record is from RNAcentral.
AUUGAACGCUGGCGGCAUGCUUUACACAUGCAAGUCGAACGGCAACACGGGGGCAACCCUGGUGGCGAGUGGCGAACGGGUGAGUAAUACAUAGGAACGUAUCCUGAAAUGGGGGAUAGCUCGGCGAAAGCCGGAUUAAUACCGCAUACGAUCUACGGAUGAAAGCAGGGGAUUCGCAAGAACCUUGCGUUUCUGGAGCGGCCUAUGUCUGAUUAGCUAGUUGGCGGGGAAGAGCCACCAAGGCGACGAUCAGUAGCUGGUCUGAGAGGAUGAUCAGCCACACUGGGACUGAGACACGGCCCAGACUCCUACGGGAGGCAGCAGUGGGAAUUUUGGACAAUGGGGCAACCCUGAUCCAGCCAUGCCGCGUGAGUGAAGAAGGCCU